UUAGAUACCCUGGUAGUCCACGCCCUAAACGAUGAGUACUAAGUGUUGGUGAGAAUCAGUGCUGAAGUUAACGCAUUAAGUACUCCGCCUGAGUAGUACGUACGCAAGUAUGAAACUUAAAGGAAUUGACGGGAGCCCGCACAAGCGGUGGAGCAUGUUGUUUAAUUCGACGAUACGCGAAGAACCUUACCAGGUCUUGACAUAGCACGCGAAGGCGUAGAGAUACGUUGGAGGAUAGCGUGCAUACAGGUGGUGCAUGGUUGUCGUCAGCUCGUGUCGUGAGAUGUUGGGUUAAGUCCCGCAACGAGCGCAACCCUUAUUUCUAGUUACCAGCAGUAAGAUGGGGACUCUAGAGAGACUGCCAUUGAUAAAAUGGAGGAAGGUGGGGAUGACGUCAAAUCAUCAUGCCCUAUAUGACCUGNGCUACAAACGUGCUACAAUGGCUGAAACAAAGAGAAGCGAGCCCGCGAGGGGGAGCGAACCUCAAAAAAGCAGUCUCAGUUCGGAUUGAAGUCUGCAACUCGACUUCAUGAAGAUGGAAUCGCUAGUAAUCGCGAAUCAGAAUGUCGCGGUGAAUACGUUCUCGGGCUUUGUACACACCGNCCGUCANACCAUGAGAGUUUGUAAUGCCCGAAGCCGGUGGCCUAACGAAAGAGGGAGCCGUCUAAGGUAGGACAGAUGAUUGGGGUUAAAUCGUACAAGGUAAGCCGGAAUU
This 715-nucleotide ribosomal RNA is filed under the name uncultured bacterium. RNAcentral describes it as "bacterial SSU rRNA". It matches the Rfam family "Bacterial small subunit ribosomal RNA", at positions 778 to 1507 of the family's 1533-position model. The record is from RNAcentral.